CAAGAUCUUGUAGGGAUAGGAACAUUCCAGGCAGAGGGAACAGCAUGUGCAAAGGUAUGGAGGCCAGAAGGCAGAUGAGGAACUUGAGAAAGAGCCUGUUCAAUGUGGCUAGAGCACAGAGUGCAUGACAGCAAGUGGUGAAAGAUGAAGUGGGAAAGAAAGGCCUCUCUGCUAGUCUGAGAACCUUAUGAUCACCUCUGCUUCUUUAUGCACUGCCUACCUCUCUAAACAGACCGCAUGGGCCUUGAGGGGCGGGACUGUGUUGCUGCUGCUGCCUUGUCACUGUCUCAUAGCUCCAGGCUCAGCGCUGUAGGGGCAGUAGCCAAAGGAAGAGCCCAGGCCUGGCUGGGCUAGCAGGCAGGUCCUCCUGGAGCCAAAACAGAUCCUCCCACGUGAAGUUUGAAAGGAAGCAUCUUGCAGCUCCGUCUAAUUACAGGAAAGUUCCAAGUUCUGAUCUCCCCUUCCCUACCUCUUUUCUUGACGUCUCUGGAACAAGCUAUCUGAAAGGAGAAAUAGUCACAUCACAAUUUUUUUUUUCUGGGCUCAUGUGAAUAUUGUUUCAGGGACAAGAAGAAAAAAAAAUUUGUCUUCUCUAUUUCCUUAAGAAGGUCAGCAAGAUGGAACAGUUGCAUUUCAUAUGCAGCCUCUCGAAGGACAUUCAUUUUCUCCAGCAGAGCCCCAGGGUGGACAAGGAGGGCCAGCUGUGUGCAGCGUCUGUUGUGUACAGCAUUCAGGACAAUGUCCUCUUGGAUCCCGAGCUCUCCACACAGACAGAGCAGAUAAAGGAAGGUCCCUCUCCUGGUCUUCCUUCCAGGGAGGCUGUUGCUGAGAGAGGUUAAGGGACCUCCCAGAGUCCUCCUCAGGUGGGAGCGGAAGGUUGGCAUUGCUGACCUCCCAUAAGCUUUUACCUGAACUUGGGCUCUGCCUGUCUUUGUUCUGAGGAAUGAGACUGCAAAGAAGCUCCCGAUCUGAAAAGGUGGCAUUUGCUAAGUUAGAAAAUGGAAGUACCACCCAGUCUGGGGGAUCCCAUAGGCACCCAAGAGUGCACCAAGCCACUAGGACCAAGCUCACCUGAGAGUCCCACCCUGCUCGGAAUAUGCAGACUUGGUGUCCUGUCGCUUUAAAGCACUCCAUGCCUGGAAAUGCCACGGCCCACAUGGAAUGGGCACAGCCAACAACUCUCCAAGGAGCCCCAGCAAUGAAUGAUGAGCAUCUCCCCUGAACCCAUCUCCCCAUGUCCGGUGUUUAAAGUGAAUUGAAAUGAAUAUCUGAUAAAUGAAUAAACCUGUAAAUGGAAUCAAAAACCUUAUGAACUUGAAGGAGAAAUAGGAGUCCCAGGUCUGUUAAGUCUAAAUUGAAUAAAUCUGAUCAACUGCCUGACAAUUUCUGCCAACAGCUUUUGAAGAGGAAGAAAAGGGGUGAGCAGAGAAAUUGGGUAGAGGAGAGGGAAGAGCGAGUGGGGUAGGGGAGGCAGGCAUGACUCAGUAAUGAAGCUAUCACCAGGAGUCCCCAGUGUUCCUUACCUGGACUAAUAAAUGGAUGACAAUAGGAGUUCCUUGCAAGUCUGUCUGCUCCUGUGUGUCUGCCCAGAGGACACCUCUAGAGAAUGAGAGAUUUGCAUAAAAUGGGGCCAAAGUCUCCUUUUGGGCCUUGCUGGACAAGGAGCUGAGGAAGAACUCUGGAGUCCUGGAAUCAGCUACUGGGCCUAGAUGAUCUCACCUGCUAGGAUGGGUCUGUAUGUUUGGGUAGCUUGAGCUGGAGGCAGGGAGGUCACAUUGAGGAUGCGCUCAAUGGCUCUCGAUUUGGCCUCUGCCACUCUUUGUUCUGUUGGGUAACUUACUUCCUGCAGUGGUUUUAAACAUGGCCACAGACUUCUUUAACACUCAUCUUAGUGAGAGGUGGUGGUGGUGGAUCUGUGUCUUCUUCUCUUGAAUCUAGGUGGCUUUGUGACUCCACUAAUACAGAACAGUGGCAUUGAUGCUGUCUGACUUUCCAGGCUGGGCUGGAAAAGGUUGUGCAACUUCUGCCUGAGUUUCUUGGGACACUGUCAUUGGGGGAAAACAGCCCCUAUGUAGGAAAUCCAAUUGCCCUGAGAGUGCCAUGCUGGAGAGGUGUUCCUGUUCAAGGCCAUGCCCCACUGAGCUCCCGGCCAGUGGCCAGGCUGGCCGUGGGGAAUGAACCCCGUGAGCCACUCAGUCUCGCCCAGCCUUCAGAUGACUGCAGUUCCAGCCCAUGUGUGACUGCAGCAGCUAAGUCACAGCUGCCUCGUCAAACUCUCCCCAAAUUUUUGACCUGCAAAAGUACAAACGCUAUAAAAUUAUUGUUUUAAGCUACUAAUUCAGGAGUAAUUUGUUAAUAGCAACCAAAACACACCCCUUCUUGGGUUUCAAUUUUUUUUCUGAACCAUGAAGGGUUAGACUAGAUAAUUUUUAAAACCAUACUUUGAAAGUUUUAAAUAGUAGAUGAACUUUUUUCAAUUGUUUUUAUUGUAGUAAAAUAUACAUAAAAUUUACCAUCUUAAACAUUUUUAAGUGUACGGUUCAGUGGUAUUAAAUAUAUUCACAAUGUUGUGUAACCAUCAUCACCAUCCAUCUCCGUAACUCAUUUCGUCCUGCAAAACUGAAACUCUGUACACAUUAAACAAUAACUCCGUCUUCCCCUUUCUCCUCCAGCCCCUGACAUCCACCAUUCUACUUUCUGCCUCUAUGAUUUAGACUACUCUAGGUAUCUCACAUAAGUGGAAUCAUACAAUGUUUGCCUUUUGGGCCUGGUUUAUUUCACUCAGCAUAAUGUUUUCAUGGUUCAUCCAGGUUGUAGUAUGUACCAGGAUUUCUUUCCUUUUUAAGACUGGAUAAUAUUUCAUUGUAUGUAUAUACAACAUUUUGCUUAUCCAUUCAUUUGUUGAUAGACACUUUUGUUUUUGCCAUGUUUUAGCUAUUGUGCAUUAAUGCUGGUGUGAACAGGAGUGUACAAAUGGAAAGAACCUGCUUCCAAUUAUGUCAAAUAGAUACCCAGAAGUGGAAUUGCUGAUUUACAUGGUGAAGACCUCCCUCCUGUGACCUCACCCCUCCUCCUUCCCUGUGCUUCUCCACACAGCCUGCCUUCCCACACAGGAAUCCAG
RNAcentral lists this long non-coding RNA (3121 nucleotides) under Homo sapiens (human). RNAcentral describes it as "HSALNT0181624". Lineage: Eukaryota; Metazoa; Chordata; Mammalia; Primates; Hominidae. The record is from RNAcentral.